GGAGAGUUUGGCCCGGACGUGGCGAGCCGGACAUGGAGGAGAGAGCGCCUGCCGGCUCUCCCGUUCCCUGCUCUCCGGGAGUGGCCUCAUGGCCGACUAUUUCACCCAUUUCUCAUGCCUGCUCGAUGUCGGCACGCCCGAGACCGCAGCCCGCGCGCUCGAUCUCUACAACCAACUGUCCGAGGACGGAGCAUCANNNNGCCGUCCGAUGGCUUCCUCCUGUCCAUCCAGCCCGAGCAUGGCGGCUCCAAACUCUGG
RNAcentral lists this unclassified non-coding RNA (258 nucleotides) under Hevea brasiliensis (rubber tree). Lineage: Eukaryota; Viridiplantae; Streptophyta; Magnoliopsida; Malpighiales; Euphorbiaceae. The record is from RNAcentral.